GGUCGGGAACUCAAAGGAGACUGCCAGUGAUAAACUGGAGGAAGGUGGGGAUGACGUCAAGUCAUCAUGGCCCUUACGACCAGGGCUACACACGUGCUACAAUGGCGCAUACAAAGAGAAGCGACCUCGCGAGAGCAAGCGGACCUCAUAAAGUGCGUCGUAGUCCGGAUUGGAGUCUGCAACUCGACUCCAUGAAGUCGGAAUCGCUAGUAAUCGUGGAUCAGAAUGCCACGGUGAAUACGUUCCCGGGCCUUGUACACACCGCCCGUCACACCAUGGGAGUGGGUUGCAAAAGAAGUAGGUAGCUUAACCUUCGGGAGGGCGCUUACCACUUUGUGAUUCAUGACUGGGGUGAAGUCGUAACAA
Molecule: ribosomal RNA, 366 nt
Filed under: Salmonella enterica
Lineage: Bacteria; Pseudomonadati; Pseudomonadota; Gammaproteobacteria; Enterobacterales; Enterobacteriaceae
Description: bacterial SSU rRNA
Rfam family: Bacterial small subunit ribosomal RNA
Source: RNAcentral